GAAGGGUAGAGACGUGACAGCGUUUGGAAGGGGAGAGGGGUGACAGCGUUUGGAAGGGGUGACAGCGUUUGGAAGGGUAGAAGGGGUGACAGCGUUUGGAAGGGUAGAGACGUGACAGCGUUUGGAAGGGUAGAGACGUGACAGCGUUUGGAAGGGUAGAGACGUGACAGCGUUUGGAAGGGUAGAGACGUGACAGCGUUUGGAAGGGUAGAGACGUGACAGCGUUUGGAAGGGGAGAGGGGUGACAG
This is a long non-coding RNA of Coregonus clupeaformis (lake whitefish), 248 nucleotides long. RefSeq lists it as uncharacterized. The record is from RefSeq and is a predicted model, not a curated record. The transcript has 3 exons. NCBI's taxonomy places the organism in Eukaryota, Metazoa, Chordata, Actinopteri, Salmoniformes, Salmonidae.